Molecule: unclassified non-coding RNA, 62 nt
Filed under: uncultured bacterium
Lineage: Bacteria
Source: RNAcentral
ACCUCCCUGACCGCCGCAAUGGCGGUUUUUCGAAGCGGCGUCGGCAACGAUGCCGCUUUUUU